UCUGCUGUCCGCAGUUCAGGGCAGGCAGGCCUUCUCUGCCCCUGGUCUUUUGCCCUUCCCUCUCAGCCGAGUUGCUGGCAAGAGGCAGACUUCUUACGCGGCAGUGGGCGUUUAGUUCGAUUUUGUUGGGUAGAUUAAGAAGUCGGGAAGGGUUUAGGCACUGCCCGCCGCCUACAGUAUUCUCCGAGUGAAAAAUUUUAAAUAUGUAUAUUUUUCCUUUUUUGCGGUGCUGGAGACCAAACCCAGACUUUCCUGAAUGUCAGGCAAGCACUUGCCACUGCAUUACACCCCCAGUCAACCAGAAUUUACUUAUGGUAAUUUUCAGACAUACAAAAUGGGAGUAGUAGUAACUGCCCAUGUUCUGCCCUACAGCUUCUUUAUGUAUUAAACUUUCCAGUCUUGUUUUAUUUGUUUUCUGUGCUCUGCCUUUUUCCCCCCUCCUUUUCCAGGGCUACUUUAAGACAAAUUCCAAAUUGCUUUUCUUUUUUCAACCAUAAAUGCUUAAUGGUGAACCACAAAUCAGUUACUGAAGAAGUAACCUCUGUUUAUACCUAACAAAUGUAACAGGAAUCUCUCAGGUAUGUCUUUUACUAUAAUGCUGUUAGUCAUAUUGCCAAGAGGUCAUACGUGUAUAACUUUAUUUUUUACUUUUUUUAAUUUUAUCUUUAGGAAUAACUUUUACUGAAACUUUCCUAAGUCAUAAUCUUUGUUAGCCAGUAGUCUAGGACAGUGGUGGCAAAUGCAUGGCACAUAUGCCAUAUAGGCAGUUCCUAUCAUUGAGAAGCUCUAAGAGGUUCAUCAUCAUUGGUCUAGGGUAAUUAUCUCUAGUUCUUCGAACAUCGUGAUUCUUUUUUUCUUUUUUCUUUCUUUCGUUCUUUACUUUUUUUUGGACAGAGUCUUGCUAUGUAGUUCAGGCUGGCCUUGGGACUCACUUUUGUAACCGAGGCUGGCCUCAAGCUCACAGUAAUCCUCUUGCUUAGCCUCCCAAGUGCUAGGAUUAUAGGCAUGAGCCACCACACCUGGCUGGACAUUAUAAUUUGUAGUGGACUUUUGGUAGGCACCUGUCUUCCUCUUUCCAUUCCUGCUUUUCUUCCUCCUUCCUUUCUCUCCUUCCCUUGCUCUUUUCCUUCUCAUCCUGGGCAGUAAAGUACAUAAGUCAUCAGUGGGCCCAGUGGGUUUUCACCAAGUGGACAUGCCCCAUAAAACCAGCAGCCAGGUCAGCUUUCCAAUGUGGCCCAGGCUUGCUGCCUCUAGCACAAGCACUAUUCCAAGAGAUUGACACAUGCUUGCUCAUCUGACCAGUGACCUUGUAGACCCACCCUACAGUCUGCCCAUUUUAUAGAUAGGAAAACAGGCAGCAAGUACUAAAUCAUUGACUCUAGGUUGACAGCCUCUAGGUUUUGUUCAUCUGGUGCAGCUGCUGUGUCAGAGUUAGGUUUGAUCUGAAGCCCGUGAAGCAGCUUAUAAGACACUUUACCAUCACCCAGGGCUGAUAAAUUAUUGUCUCUGAUUUUAAAUACAGUGUAUAUUUAAACAAAAAUUUAUUAAAUAAAUUCAUUAUAGUAAAAGACAUAUUGCCCUUAAUCUCCAACAAAAUACUCCUUCUUACUUUGAACACAGUUAUCAUAUCUUGUCACUUCCUGAAACAAUUCUGCAAGUCCUUUCUUGUGUCUCAUGAGAUGUGGUUAAAAUUGUGGCAAAUGCUGCUGGUAAGCAGCAUCCAAAAGAAAAGUAGGCUUGCAAAAACAUUGUGGUAUGUCCUCUUCUAUCUUAGUCACUAGAUUUAGGCCUGUGCAACUUCCCCAAAGUCAAAGUGGCCGUGAAAGGUAAAUGUUUUGAAUCAGUUCAGGACAUCAAGGCAGUAAUGACAGUAAACUAAAGACAUUCAUGAGAGAGGACUUGCCAAACUGUAGCAAGAAUUGAAUCAAGGGGAGUAUUUUGAGAUGGUUUAGUGGUAAUGUUUUUUACUGUAGUGAUUUUUUAAAAACUAAACUUUCAUUGUAUGUUUUGUUCAUACUGUGUAAUAAUUCUCUACACGUGUUGUUUAUAAAUGGUAUUUAUGUUUUAUGUAGUGUUUGUGUGUGUGUGUGUGUGUGUGUGUGUGUGUGAUCACAGAUUGAACUCAAGACCUUUGCACUGAACUACACCCCAAACCCUUUUUAGUUUUUGUUUUGAAAUAAAUCGUCAAAUUGAGCUCAAACGUUCAGUCCUCCUGCUUCAGUCUACCAGACUGCUAGGAUAAUAGGUGUGUGCUACCAUGCCCAGCUGAUUUUUAAAUUCUUAAAAUAGAAAGUACAGUACCAUGUUAAUUGCUUGUCUCUUGCUUUUUUCAUUAACUAUGUUUUUUUUCUUUUUACCGCUUCUUGUGUGUGUGUGUGUGUGUGUGUGUGUGUGUGUGGUACUGAGACUGAACCCAAGACCUCUCAUGCUGAACUAUAACCCCUGCCCUUAAUACGUUUUUGAGAGAUGUCCAAGUUCUUUUUUUUUUUUUAAAUGGUACUUGGAGUUGAACCUAGGGUCUUCAUACUGAACUACAUCACCAGCACUUUUUAAAAAAAUUUUUGGAGAUAAGGUCUCACUAUGUUUUACACACAUAACUGAAACUUGCUGUCCUCUUGCCUCAGCCUCACAGAGUGCUGGGAUUACCAGCAUGUACUGCUAUUCUUGGCUCCAAGUUGAUAUUUAUAGAACUGUUGUAUUCAUUUUAACCUGUUGUUGUUUUCCCUCAUGAAUAUAUAUUUAUAUAUUUAUUAUGUUUUAUUUAUUCUUUGCCAUUCUGAUCGUUCAGUGUUCAUUUAAUGCAGACAACAUACAGUGAGUAUCCUCACACAUGUUGUUGCACUGAUUGCCUGUAUCUGCAGUGUGUAACCAGUGUGUGCAUAUUUUAGUGCAGAGGUAUAUAUGUUUUUGGUUUCUGUAUAAAAAAUGCCUUUGUGGGUUUUUUUUUUUUUUUUUUUUUUGUCUUUUUCGUUUUUAUCGGUACCGGGGAUCGAAUUCACGACUGCCUGCUUGCAAGGCGGGCGCUCAUGCUGCUGAGCUAAAUCCCCAGCCCCCAAAAUGCCUUUUUUUAAAAUGCUGGGUAUUAUUGUACCCAGAAUCUUAUUUAUGCUAGGCAUAAAUAGAAAGUACAGUAGCAUGUUACUCAGUGCUAUACCACUGAGCUGUACCCUUUGCCUGCUAGUGUUCUUCUGGCUACUUACAGUGAUAUUGUCUGACUUUGACAUUUGUGCUCAUGGAAGAAAUGUGGGGGAGGCUGGGUGUGGUGGCCCAUGCCUGUAAGUCUAGCAUUCAGGAGGCUGAAGUGGGAGGAUUGCUGCAAGCUUGAGGCCAGCCUAGGCUUUGUAGUGAGUUCAGGGCCAGCCUAAACUACAUAGUAAGACCCUGUCUCAAGGAAAAACCAAAACAAAAUGAAAUAAAAUAAAAAGAAAGGUGGAAGCCGGGCGUGGUGGCUCACGCCUGUAAUCCAAGCACUUGGGAGGCUGAGGCAGGAGGAUCGCUUCGAGUUCAAGACCAGCCUAGGCUACAAAGUGAGCACAAGGCCAGCCUGAACUGCAUAGUGAGACCCUGUCUCAAAAAGACAGAAAAAAAAAAAACAACAAAGGGAGAGUAAUGACAUCUAGAUAGAAUUUUGCAUUUCCUCAGUUACUAGUGAGGUUUAACACUUUUCACACUGGUUUUAUUUUAAAUCUCUUUCUCAGUUACUGAGAGGGUAGACUGCAUUAUUGUACGCAAAGGAUAUAGAAGUAUGAGGAGCAAGCACUGAUGGUCUUCUUUACCUUGUUAUUAUAAGAUAAAUUCAGUAAUAGAAAAUUAACAUAGAACUUGGGACAGUUCCCAACUUUUUGGGUACCAGGAACUGGCUUCUCAGGAAAGAUAAUUUUUCCGCAAACAGGGGAGGGGUAGUUUCAGAAUAAUUCAAGCACAUUGGAUUUAUUGUUUACUUUAUUUCCAUUAUUACAUAUGUUACAUGAUAGAACUGUGGGGGACAGGCGGCGGCUGAAAAGAUAAGAAGUAUGAAAUAUAAAUGACCUUUAUUUUGAGAAUGCGGGGAGAAACACCCCAAUCCCCUGGGGCGUGGCAUUUCCACCCCGGGUCAGCAAUCUCUCCAUGGAACACAUGGAGUGAGGCACGUAAGUAGCCUCGGUUUGGGGUAGAACCUAAGGGGGCAUUAGGGAUACACAGGUAGCCCACUGGUCUUUGUUUGGCGCCAGAGGUAAAUCCUAAGGAUGGGGGAGAUGGCGCUCCUUGGUUCCGGCUGAGGCUUUACCAGCUACAGUGUCCGGCCUGGGCCAAAACUCUUUCAACCUUAUUUGUUUGUUUGUUUUUUAUUAGUACAUGUUUGUAGUAUGUAAUGUUUACAUUCCUUGUAGGGAAUUGAUACAUAUGCAUAACACAUCUUAAUUCCUUUUUCAUCCUCUUUCCCUUCUCUGCCUUUAUCUUUUGACUCCUUUUCCCUUCUAGAGCAUUCUUUCCUACUUCCUAGUAUCUACCUUUUACUUGCUCUUUAUUUAUUUAAUUCAGGUGAGAAACCAGGCAAUAUUUAAGUUUGCAUGUCUGGUUUAUUUCACUUAAAAUUAUGGUUUCAAGGUACAUCUGUUUUCCUACAAAUCAUUUAUUUUUCUUUGUGGCAAAGUAAUAUUCAUUGUGUGUGAAAAUCACAUUUUCUUUAUUCAUUCAUUGUUGAUGGAUAUUUAGGCCAUUUCCAAGAUUUAGCUAUUAUGAAUUGUGUUGGCUAUAAAUAUGAGUCUGUAUGUAUCACUAUAAUAUGAUGUAUUUAACUCUUUCAGGAAGAUAUCUAAAAGGUGAAUAACCGAGUCAAAUGGAAUUUCUAGUUUUAGUUUUUUGUAGAAUCUCCAAACUUAUAUAUCCAUAGUGAUAGUGUUAGUUUACAUUUCCACCAACAGUUCAGUAGUGCUCCUUUUCACAUAUAGGCUCUCCAGUAUUUAUUUAUUUAUUUAGCUGCCUUUAAAAAACGUAUUUAUUUACUUACUGAUUUUUGAGACAGGGUCUCAAUAUGCAGGCUGGCCUUGAAUUUACUUUGUUAGCCCAGGCUGGCCUUGAACUCUCAGUGAUCAUCCUCAGCUUCCAGAAUGCUUGGAAUUACAGGCAUGUGUCAAGAGGCCCAGCAUAAUUUUGGUUUUUAUUAGUACACAUUUGCGGUACACAGUGAUUCCAUUUACCAUAGGGAGUUGGCACAUAUACAUAAUGCAUCUUAAUUCUUUUUACACCUCCUUCCUCUCCCUGCCAUCUCUUGGUCCUUUUUCAAAUGCAGCAUUCCUCAGGCAGUUGCCUAGAAGGAAACAGGAUCCAAGAGGGCAUAAUCUGCAAUAAGCAAUGGGAAUCUCUCUGGGGCAGAUGGCAGAGUGGAUGCUGGGGAGGCUGCCCUUUCUGAUUGGUUUAUUGUAUCCUUCUAGCAUUUAUUUUCCAAUUAAUGAGUGUUGGCCACAGAUAUUGGGUUGACCUGAGCUGUAAAAAUCUCCCAAGUUACUCUCACAUGCAGUUGUUUUUUUUUGAUUUCUUGAUAACAGCCAUUCUUUCUGGGGUAAGAUAGAAUCUCAGGGUUGCAUAAAUUUGCGUUUCUUGAAUGACCAGUUAUGCAGAGCAUUUUUUCAUGUAUUUAUUUGCUGUUUGUACUUCAUCUGAAAAAUGUCUGUUCAUUUCUAGGCUGAGUCUUCAAAUUUGGAGAGUGAUUUUUUUUUUUCAGUUCUUUUAGUUCUUUGUGUAUUCUAGAUGUCAGUUGUCUGAGGAGUGAUUGGUAAAAAUUUUUACCCAUUCUGUGGGUUGUCUCUUGAUUCUCUUGGUGAUUACUUUUUCUGUACAAAAGCUUUUUAGCCGGGUGUAGUGGCACUCUCCUGUAAUUCCAGCACUUGGGAGGCUGAGGUAGGCAGAUCACUGCAGGUUCAGACCAGCCUGGGCUACAAAGUGAGCACAAGGCCAGCCUGAAUGGCACAGUGAGACCCUGUCUCAAAAAGAGAAAAAAAAAAAAAAAAAAAGCUUUUUAAUUUGAUAUAAUCCCAAAUUGUUGAUUCUUUGUAGUCAACCCUAUGUGAUCAGGGUUUUGUUCAUAAAGUCUUUGCCUCUACCUAUGUCUUUCAGAGUUUAACCUACUAAAUAUAUCUUCCAGCACAUUUAGUGUUUCUCUUUUAAUAUUUAGAUCUUUGAUCAAUUUUGAGGUACAUGGUAAAUGAUAAGGGUCUACAACCAACCUUCUACACGUGAAUAACUGGUUUCCCUAGCACCAUUUAUUGAAGAGGAUAUCCUUCUCCCAAUGCAUGUUUUUAACCCCUUUGUCAAAGAUCAAAUAGUUGAGUAUGCUUGGGGUUGUUUCUGUGUCCUCUGUUCUGGUCUCUUGAUCCUCAUAAGGCCACUAUCGUGUGUUGAUCUCAAGCAGCUGAUCCUUUUGUAGUAUAGACAAAGUCAGUUUACCUGGCUCAUUCAUUCACAAAUGGGUCACGGAUCCAUUCCUUUUUAGUGUAGGAGUCAUUUUGUAGUUGAGAAGCUUUGUGGUGUAUAUGCAGUGUCCCCCCAAAUUCUUAUCUGGCUGAAAGGUGAUUGGAUUAUGGAAGCACUGUAUUCAUCAGUAGAUUCAUCGACUGAGUUCAGUAGCUGAAUGGGGCCCUAAUUGAAGGUGGUCACUGGAGGGAGGGCAUACCCUUCAGCUUCUUACUUAUUUCUCUGCUUCCUGGUUGCCAUUGGUUGAGUGUCUUUUCCUUUGCCAUGCCCCUCCAACGUCCUGUUUUGCUUUGAAUCGUGCUGACCAUGGACUGAAACCAUGAGCCAAAGUAAACUUCUCUGCCUUUUGUUGCAGGUGUCGGUAUUGUGUCUCAGUGACAAGGUAACUAAGGUGGGAAGUAAUGCUCAAACUCUUAAAAGUGGAGAUUGGUGAUCAUGUACCAGCUGGAAGAAAGAAGGCCUUUGAUCAUUCUCUUUCAAAGUCUCUGCUAAUACUUAAAAUACAUCAGAAAUUCCAUUGCUCUCUUAAUCUCAGUUUGGUUUUGAACACAGUUACUUUAUCUGCUGAUCUGAAUACAGUUGUCAUUCUCCUCUGAAGUGAUAAAUUGAGGGUUUUUAAAAUAUAUUUUAUCUCAAGGAGAAAAAGAAAAAAAAAGAAGAAAGAAAACUAAAAUAGAAUUUCAAAGCACAUCAAUCAGGGGCAACAAUGGUACAUACAUUGUGCAUUGUCAUCCCCAAAUCAUUCAUCCAGAGCAUAAGACUUCAGCAUUCAAUUGUCCAAACAAUACCAACACAAAUCUUUCUCUUCAGUGAACUCAGAGAAAUCAGUAGUAUAACUAUCUUUAACUAUUUUUUAUAUGCAUAUACAUAUAUAUAUACAUAUGUUGUUUCAGCUUCUCACACUAAUGAGAUGAUGUAUUUACACAUGUGUGUUUUAUUUAUUACACUGAGUAUGGUCUUAAGUUUUAUCCAUUUAUCUAUCAAAAUCUCCAGUUUAUACUUCUUUAUGGCUGAGUAGUGCUCUGUUGUAUAAAAAUACCACAUCAUUUUUUUCUGUUUUCUCAGUGAUGGGCAUUUAGGUUAUUUCCAAGAUAUGGCUAUUACAAAUUGUGCUUCUGUAAACAUGAGUGCACAUAUAUGGCUGUGGUAUGAUGUUUUUAAUUAUUUUGGGAAGAUACCCAAAAGGGGAAUAGCUGGGUCAAAUGGGACCUCUAGUCCUAGUCUUUUGAGGAGUCUCCACAGUGAUUUCCACAGUGGUUGCACCAGUCUGCAUUGCCACCUACAGUAGAGAAGGGUUCCUUUUUCCCCAGAGCCCCUCUAACAUUUGUUAUUGGUUGAUUUUUUAAUACUAGCCAUUCUUUCUGGUGUGAGGUGUACUCUCAGUGUUUUAAUCAUCUCUCAAAUAACCAGUGAUGUCAAACAUUUUUUCACAUAUUUAUUUGCUGUUUGCAGUUCUUCAUCUGGGGUGUUUAUUCAUUUCAGAUAGCCAUUUUGGAUUGGGUUUUUAAAUCUGGAAGGAUUAUCUGGGCAUGGUGGCUUAUGCCUGUAAUCCUAACAUUCAAAAGGCUGAGACAGGAGGAUUGUUGGAGUUCAAGACCAGCCUGGACUACAAAGUAUCCUCAAGGCCAGCAUAGUGAGACCUAGUGUCAAAAAGACAAAAAAAAAAAAAAAAAAAAAAAAUCUGGGAGGACUGAUUUUUUUUUUUUUAAAGUUCUUUGUAUGUUCUUGACAGUAAUCCUUUGAGGUACAGUUAUUUUCUCCCACAUAAUGAGUUGUCUCUUUACUCUGUUGGUCGUUUCUCUUGCUGUGCAAAAGCUUUUCAGUGAGGUGAGAUCCCAGGAGUUUAUUCUUUGUGAUAGUUCUGUGCAGUCAGGGUUUUGUUCAUAAAGUCUUUGCCUAUACUAGUGUCUUCAAGAGUUUUACCUACUCUAUCUUCCAGCAGAUUUCAUGUUUCUGUUUUAAUAUUAGCAUCUUUAAUCAAGUCUGAUUUUAUCUUAGUACAUAGUGAAAGAUGCAGGUCCAGUUUUAAUGUUUCACAUGUGUAGAGCCAGGUUUUCCAGCCCCAUCUAUUAAAGAGGCUUUCUUUCGUUCAGUGAAUGUGUUUGGCACCUUUGUCAAAGAUAAGAUGGUUUAGUGUAUCGUCAAUUGUUUCUGCAUCUUCUAAUCUGUUCCAUUGAUCUUUGGGUCUUGUUUUUGUUUUGUUGUUGUUGUUGUUUUGCAGGACCACACUUUUUAUCACAGUAGCUUUAUAGUAUAAUUUCAAGUCAGAUUGUGAUAGCCCCUGUCUUGUAUUUUUUGCCCAGAUUCCCUUCUCUAUUCUAUAUCUCUUCUGGUUCCAGAUGAAUUUUAGGAUUGCAGUCUCUUAAUUCUGUGAGAUAUGCUACUGGAAUUUUGAUUGGAAUUACAUUGAAUCUGUGUAACAGUUUUGGAAGUAUGACCAUUUUCACCAUAUUGGUUCUUCCUACCCAAGACCACAGGAUAUUUCUGCAUUUUCUAAUACCCUCUUCAAUCUCUUUUUUUCAGAGUGCUGUAGUUCUCAAUUUAGAGGUCUUCUAUGGUUUGUUAGAUUGAUUACUAGGUAUUUCUUUUUUUUUUUUUUUUUUGGAAUGCUAUUAUAAAAGGUAUUGUUUCCCUGAUUUCUCUCUCAGUGAGUUUGUUAUUUGUGCACAGGAAGCCUAUUGAUUGUUGAGUGUUGACUUAGAAUUUAGAUUUUUAAGCAAAUUCUAGCUACUUUACUGAAUUUGCUUAUUAAAUCUAGUAGUCUUUUGGUGGAGUUUUUGGGGUCUUCUAAGUAGAGUAUACUCAUCAGCAAAGAACGAUAGUUUAACUUUUUCCUUUCCUAUCUUUACUGUUUUUAUUUCUUUCUCUUGUCUAAUUGCUCCUGCUAAAAUUUCAGGACUGCAUUGAAUAAGAGUGGAGAUAGUGGACAUCCUUGUCUUGUUCCCGAUUUUAAAGAGAAAGCUUUCCGUUUUUGUCCAUUUAAUAUGAUGUUGUUGGUUUGUCAUAAAUGGCUUUUAUCAGAAUGAGAUAAAGACCCAUGUUUUCCAAUUUUGUGUAGGGUUUGUAUUAUGAAUGGGUUCUGGACUUUGUCAAAAAGUUUUUUUGUAUCUAUGAAGAUGAUAUGAUUUUUGUCCUUCGCUCUAUUAAUAUGAUGUAUUGCAUUUAUGGAUUAACGUAUGUUGAACCAUCCCUGCAUCCUUGGGAUGAAUCCCACUUGAUGUACAAUCUUCAUGAUGAUUUGCUGCAGUCUGUUUGCCAGUAUGUCACUGAGAAUUUUUGUAUAAGUGUUCUUUUUUUUUUUGGUCUUUUUCGGUACUGGGGAUCGAACUCAUGACUGCCUGGUUGCAAGGUAGGCGCUUAUGCCGCUGAGCUAAAUCCCCAGCCCCUGUAUAAGUGUUCUUUAGGGAGAUUGGCCUGUAAUUCUCUUUCAUAGUUGAGUCUUUCUCUGGUUUUGGUAUCAGGGUAAUGCUUGCUUCCAGGAAUGACUUUGUGAGUAUUGCUUCCCUUUUAAUUUCAUUAAUGGUUGAAUAUGUUUGGCACUCAAUCUGAAGCAGUGCAGAGAAAAUGAGAGAUAAGAAGGAGACAAAGGAGCAGGCCUUUAAUGUGGGCGUGGAGAGCUUCAUGGGGCAGGUGGUACAGAUGCUCUCACAAAGAAGUGGGACUACUUUUAUCAAUUUAGGCUGUGGGAGGAGUUUUAACCACUGAUUUGUCUUUUUUUUUUUUUUUUUUUUUUUUUGCCACACCAAUUCAGUUCUGAUGAUUUGUCUUUUUGAGACAGGGUCUUACUAUGCAGUUCAGGCUGGCCUUGGGCUCACUUUGUAGCUCAGCCUGGUCUCGAACUCGCAACGCAACGAUCCUCCUGCCUUAGCCUCCCGAGUGCUGGGAUUACAGGUGUGAGCCACCACGCCCAGCUCUUAACUGCUGAUUUGAAGGAGCAUCUCCUGUGUAAGUCAGGAGACAAAUUUACUGGGGAAUGAAGGUAGAGGCUUAGGUAGUUGUGGAGACUUGGGAUUGGAAAGGACUUGGUGCACAUGCAAAAAGGGAGCGGGAGGUUUAUCUCUGGAAUGAUAUGGGGAACAUAGAAGGUACUGUUGGAGAGAUAAGUUGUUUCUCUGGGUGCAGCACCAAGUUGAGAGGAUGUAGCUAAACCUCUUUGAAGAGUUUGAGAAGUAGUGGUGUUAGGUCUUCUAAAUUUCUUGUGGAAUUCAGUAGUGAAUUCAUUAGGGCCUGUGCUUUUCUUUCUUGAUAGGUUUUUAAUUACAUGUUUAAUUUCAUUUAUUGAUAUUGAGUUAUAUAGGAUUUUCAUAUCUUGAUUCAGCUUUGGUAACUCAGGUGUAUCUAGGAAUCUGUCCAUUUCUUCUGUUUUCCAUCUUAUUAGAAUACAAGUUUUCAAAGUGUAGAUAUAUAAUUGAUUUUUGGAUCUCUGCAGGGUCUGUUGUGAUUCAUUCCUAAUUGUGUGCUUUUGAGUCUUUCUUUCCCUUUUUUUUUUUUUUUUGAUAAGAUUGGCUAAGGGUUUGUCUAUUUUAUUUAAUCUUUCAAAGAACCAACUCUUUGAUUCAUUGAUUCUUUGUAGUUUUUAGUCUCCAGUGUGUUCAUUUCUGCUCUGAUCUUUAUCAUUUCCUCCCUUAUACAUGCUUUUGGAUUAGCCUGCUUUUCUUUUUCUAGAAGUUUGAGGUGCAACAUUAAGUUGUUUAUAUUUGCUCUGUUUUCCUGAUAUGGAUAUUAACUGCUAUAAAUUUCCCUCUUAAGACUGCUUUCAUUGUGUCCCACAAGUUCUAGUAGUGUAGUCAUUAUCAUUCAACUGUAAAGACUGUCUUAAUUUCUUCUUUAAUUUCAUCUGUAACCUGUUGGUGUUCAGUAGGGUGCUAUUUAAUUUCCAUGUGUUUAUGAAGUUCUUGUAGUUUCCUUUGGCUUGGAUUUUCAAUUUCAUUGCACUGUAGUCCGAUAGUAUGCAGGGUUAGAUAAGAUAAUUUCAGUUUCUUGCAUUUACUUAAGCGUAUUCUAUGAGCCGUUAUAUAGUCUGGUUUAUGUUUUUGUUUUCAUUUUUUUGUUUGUUUGUUUUCUGGUAUGAGUCAAGAACUCACAAUCUUGCUCUUGCUAGGCAAGCUCUUAUGCCGCUGAGCUGAAUCCCUGGCUAUGGUCUGUUUUGGAGAGUGUCCCAUGUGCAGCUAGGAAUGUGUAUUCUGAUGUUGUGGGAUGAAACACUCUAUAGACAUCUGCUAAGUACAUUUGUUCACAAGUUUGAUUUAGCCAGCCGUGGUGGCUCAUGCCUCUAAUUUCCGCACUUGGGGGGCUGAGGCAGGAGGAUCGAUGGGAGUUUGAGACCAGCCUGAGCUACAAAGUUGAGCUCAAGGCCAGACUGAACUGCAUAGAGAGACUCGGUCUCCGGUAAAAGAAAAGUUUGAUUUAGUUCUAGUAUUUCAUUAUGGAUUUUUUUUGUCUAGUUGAUCUGUCUUUUUGUGACAGUGGGGUGUUGAAGUCUCCCAAUACAGUUGUAUUAGGCUUUAUUUGAUUUUUCAUGUUUGUUAGUAAUUAUUUUUUGUAGUUGGGUGCACUAGUAUUUGUUGCAUAUAUAUUGAUAAUUGUUAUCCCUUCCUCUUGGAUUGUUCCUUUUAUGAGGAUGCAGUGACUUUCUUUAUUUUUCUUAAUCAGUUUUGGCUUGAAAUUCACUUUGUCUGCUUUUUUCUGGGUUCCUGUUACAUGUAGUGUUGUUUUCCAUCCUUUGACUUUCAGUCUAUGAAUUUCUUUUUGACUUAAAUGUGUUUCUUGGAUGUAGCAUGUUGUUAGGUCUUGCUUCUUGACCCAUUCUCCAGUCUGUCUCUCUUGACUGGGGAACUGAGACCAUUACCCUUCAUGAUUAUAACCAAUAGGUAUUGACUUAUCCUUGUCAUGUCGUUGGCUCCCCUGUUUUUUUCCCCUCCCUCUAAUUGUUUGCCUUCCCUGGUGGAUUCCUUCUGUUGGGGUUCAUGGAGCUGUAGUCCUUAUUAUCUCUUUAUAGAGUGUCCUUCAGAACAUUUUGGAGUGCUGGUUUGGUGGUCAUAAAUUUCCUCAGAUCUUCUUUUUCAUCUUAUUUGAAGUAUCUUAUUUCUCCAUCAAGUUUGAAAGAUAGUUUUAUGGGGUACAUCAAUCAGAAUUGAAAGUUGUUUUCUUUUAGAAUUUGGAGUACUUCACUUCAAGUUCUCCUUGACUUGAGAGUUUGUGCUGAGAAGUCAGCUGUAAUUCUGAUGUGCUUUCCUUUAUGGAUGAUUUGUUUCUUUUUUGUAACAGCUUUUAGGAUUCUAGGCUCGUGUUGAAUUUCUGGAAUCUUGACUAUGAUAUGCCUGGCUGUAGAUUUUUUUUUUGUCUUUUUCCUUUUUAUCGGUACUGGGGAUCGAACUCACGAAUGCCUGCUUGCAAGGCAGACGCUUAUGCCGCUGAGCUAAAUCCCCAGCUCCAAAAUUUUUUUUUUAAUUGCUAAUUGAAGUUCUAUAUGCCAUGUUUAUUUGUAUGUCAAAUUCUUUUUCUCUACCAGGAAUGUUUUCUGUCAUGAUGUCUGUGAACAUUAUUUUAGUGUCAUCUGUGGCAUCUCCUGCUUUUUCAUUGACUCCAAGCACUCUUAAGUUAUUCUUCUUUGUCUCAUCUAGCAGCUGCUGGAUUGAUUUCUCAUGGUCCCUUGCUAUUUUGAGAAAUCUUUCUUUUCUCAGUUGCUAACUGCAAGCCUGUCUUCAGUAUCUGAGAUCCUGUCCUCACAUUGGCCUAAACUGCUUCUAAUACUUUAAAUGGAGAUUUUAUUCUCCUAGAUAUCUAAUUGAAUCUGCUUUAUGGAUUCCAUUUCUUUCCUAUGCUGUGCUUUCAUAAUUUUCUUAAGCUUGUCUAUUUUUUUGUCUGUGUCUGCUUUAACAUCGCUAAGCAUGUUGUGUAUUUUGUAUUUUGAGAGGUUAUUUCUUUUUUUCUUUUUCUUUUUUUUUUUUUUUUUUGUCUUUUUCAUUUUUAUCGGUACCAGGGAUCGAACUCACGACCGCCUGCUUGCAAAGCAGGUGCUUAUGCCGCUAAGCUAAAUCCCCAGCCCCUGAGAGUUUAUUUCCGAUUUCAUUUUUUCAAGUCUAAUUCAAUUGCAUUAUUGUUACAACAUCAGUGAGACUUGGUGGGUACUUUUGGAUUGACCCACCUCAUUGCUUCCUGGGUUUGCCAUUGGUAAACUGGAUGUUUGAGGUUGCAUCAAGUGUCUUCUCAUUUCUUCUUUUUUUUAGUUUAAUUCCUGGGGUGAUGCUUAUAAGUUGCCUGUGGUGGGUUACUUUAUGGCUAGCAUUUAGGCCUCUUACGUGUUGAUUACUUCUCUGAGGUAGCUUCUAGGUGUAUCUGGUUUUUGGGUUUUGAGUCUGUCAGAAGAUUUUACCUCUUCAGUUUGUUGGAGAUAAGAAGUUGUUGCUUGUUUGAUCUAGUCUCUAGUACUUUGGCACUGUGCUACCAUAUUUUUUGUAACCCUUAAUUAAUCUCAGCCAUGGAAUACCAGGACUAACAGGUGUUUAGAACAGUUAUUUGGAGCCGGGGAUUUAGCUCAGUGGUACAAGCACCUGCCAGGCAAAUGCCAAGUCAUGAGUUCGAACGCUGGUACAAAAAAAAAAAAAAAAAAAAAAAAGUUGUCUCAAUUUUGGGACAGCUUCUCUGGUAACAAUCACAUCAAACACAAACUGAGCUAAGCCUUAAUAUGCAAGCUUUAACCCUAUGAACUGGACUUGUGAUUAUAUAACAAAAUGUAAAACAAACCAGAUAAUUAAUACAAUAUGUAAGUCCAUAUCAGUUUUGCCCUCAGGAGUUCAAAUUUAAAAUGAAGGAGAAAAUAGAGAAGUGGAAGAAGAGGAAGAGAUUAGAAGUAAGAUUGGAGGACAACGGGGAUCACACCAACCUGAGGUAACUGGUGCAGAAGACUGAAGGAAAAGAGAAAUGGGAGAGAUAAGAGGAAGAACAGCAGAACCACACUCACAAAGAGUUGUUGCCUAUAUUCUCGAACUUGGGACUAUCAAGCAAAACAGAACAGAGGGAAAUCAGUUGAAACAGGAUGGUGAGAGCAAUACAGAAUUUCAAAUCAAGUUAACAGGAAAUCAAAGUGGUUUACUAUAAUAUAUCCUGCUAUUUUUAAAAAAAUUUUUCCCUUAAUUAAAAAAAUAAAAAUAAAUAAUAAAAAAAGGAGAUUGAGAUAAAAGAGGACAUAACAGCAAAACAGCACAGGUCAAAACAUAACCAUUUAAGCAAAAUAGUGUUUCCUGAUAUCCCGACAUAAAAGUAGUUACCAUAGUGAGUAUAAGUUCAUAUACUCUAGCAUCAAACAUACCAAGACAGUGUAAAACCAUUCAAGAGAAUGACAGUAUUACAGGGUAUUUAGAACCAACUAACAGAAAAUGAACGAUGGUUUCUGUAUAAUCUUGUCUAUAAAAGUUUUUGUUUAUAUUAUCACAUAUAAUAAAAUCCAAUAAUAUACAACAUGUUAAGAUUGAUGGAGACAGAAGAACAAAAGCUUGAUGGGACUUCAAAACAAGAUGAUAUUAAAUCAGUACUAGCUAUUAUGAUGUCUUGUUUUCUCCAAAAUAGCUGUUCCUACCAUCCAGCCUUCUCUGCCUCAUUUCUGUUGAGCUCUUUUUAUGUCAUUAGUUGUCAGUUUGUCUUCUUCAUUUUGAUUUCUGCUCCAUUCAUUGUAGCCUGUCUUUCACUGUUUCUGGAAUAUUGGUAUUUUCCUUUUUUAGAAUAUCCUGCAGUAUUCUCUGUAGAGUUGAAUUGGUGGUUGCAAAUUCCCCUAGUUCCUCUUUAUCCUGGAAGCACCUUGUUUUUCCAUCAAUUUCUAGGGACAGUUGUGCAGGAUAUAUCAAUCUUGGCUGGAGGUCAUUAUCUUUCAAAGCUUGAAUUAUUCCCCCCCCCACGCUCUUCGUGAUUUGAUGGUUUGUGCCGAGAAGUCUGCUGUAAUUCUGAUGGGUGUUCCCUUGUAAGUGAUCUGUUUUUUGUUUUUUGGGUUUUUUUUUGUCUUUUUCAUUUUUAUUGGUACCAGGGAUUCAACUCACGACCACCUGCUUGCAAGGCAGGUACUUAUGCUGCUGAGCUAAAUCCCCAGCCCGUGAUCUGUUUCUUGUCUCUGACGGCUUUUAAUAUUCUGUUCUUAUAUUGGAUUUCAGGAAUUUUGAUUAUUAUAUGCCUGGGUGUAUUUCUGUUUGGGUUGUAGGUGGCUGGGGUCCUGUAUGCCUCAUACAUCUGGGUAUCUUUACCUUUUGCUAAAUUAGGGAAAUUCUCCUGGAUUAUUUCUGUGAAUAGCCUUUGUAGUUCAUUUGUUUGUGUCUCUACUUCUUCUUUUGCGUUCUUAAUUCUUAAGUUAUAGAUCCUCUUAUCUUCUAGCCUUUGUAUUAUUGCUGCUUGUUUUCUUGUUAUUUUUAAGAAGUUUUUCAUUUCAUGCUCCCACAUUACAAAUCUGCCCUCCAGUUCAGAUAAUGUCGUUAGUUUCUUUCAAGCUGUUAUGCCAGCUUUCAAUAGAGUUUUUAGUUUCCUAAUAAUCUCUUUGAACCUGCUUCACGUAUUCUGUUUUCUCUACCCCUUUUUUUUCUGUUCUUCCAUUCCACCAUCUGUUUUUUCUUGGGUGGUGCUUAGCAUUUCUCUAACUAUUCUACUUAUAUCUUGCUUUAGGUCAUUAAAUACUUCACUUUUGAACUUGUCUAUGAGGCUCCGGAGAUAUCGCUUUAUGUCUAUUGGUGCCGUGUCUGAUAUAGCAUUUUUUCUGUCCUCAUUCUCCUUUGCAUUUCCCUUUCCUGGAUCAGUGUUUUCAGGAUUGGGGGCUGAGGACCCUUUCUUGUUGCUCCCUCUUCCCAUACUUUUUGUUAUUUCCAUACAGGUGUACAUAGGAGGCCCAGUUUCUUUCUUUGUUGGUUACAGUUUGUGUGAAUCUGCCAGCGAGGUGUUCCCGCCCACUGCAGUGUACUAGGGAGACAGACCUGGGCGGCCUCUGCUGGGUGCACCCCUCCAGGUCGGUCAACCUACUGAAGGCUUCACUGUAUUAGGGUGCACCGCCAGGUGCUGGGACCUGGUUUGGGCUAACCUACUGGGUCUUAGUCCAUGGCGUCACCCAGGUCAGGGCUCCUUACCAAUCCUGCUUGAGAGGGUAAUAUGUGACUAAAGUCACUUGCAGUAUCCUGUUCCGGCUAGUCUGCCCCGUCCCAGAAUGUCCUCUGUUAGAGCCUCUUACUCUAUGGAAGGGUCCCCAUUUCUCUCACUCACUGUAGGUCGAUGCAGGGCUCCCCGCCAGUUUCACUCUCAACUCUGUUCGCCGAUUCCCACUCUCAGAGAUUUUGCCUUUCUGUCCCUGCUGUGCUGAUUCAGAUGAAGCAGCUGCAGCAGGAAAUUCAAAUCACCGCGUGGGUUCCAGCUUCUGCUGAGAUUUUAUCUGUUCCGGUUGUAGCAGCAGGAUUGCAUUUCCAGUUGGUUUUUCUCAGCUUAGUUCGUUCCUGGGUUGGCAGGGUAUAUCUCCCCUUGCUUAGGACUCCUCACACCACACCAUUCCUGGAUUUUCGGCUGGGCAUCUCAGAGAGCCUCCAUAGCUGCUAUUAUCUCUCUGCCAUGUUCUCCCGGAAGUCUCUAGUCCUUUUUCAAAUUUUUUAUUUUACAAAUUAAAAUUUUUUUAUUAAGUUGCUACGUUGAUCAGACUGGCUUGAACUUUUGAUCCUGCCUCAGCUUCCCAGAGUGUUUGGGUUAUAAGCAUGUAUGACCACUUUUCAUGGGCUUAUUGGUCUUUUGUUUCUAUUUGGAGAAAUGCCUAUUGAAAUGCCUUUUCUUUUUAAAUGCAGAUCUAUGUCCAAAUCCCAGCCAUUGCACAUACUGUUGCUUGUUUUUCAUCUGGAUUAUUUUGUUGUUGUAGGAUUCAUUAUGUGUUGUGAAUAUUGAUCCCUUGUGAAAUAUGUGAUUUGCAUUUUUCCCAUUCUUUAUUAGUAUGUUAACGUGAUACAUAGUACAUAUGUUCAUUGUAGGGGAAUUGGGAUGCCUGCAUAUUGCAUCUUGAUCCUUUCCUUUCCUUCUUCUCCUUUCCUUCCCUCCUAUUCUCCCACCCCAGGUUCCCUUCCAUCCUUUCAAAGAAUCAACUCAUUGAUUCCUUGAUUGUUUAUAUUGUUUUUUUCAGUUUCAAUUUCAUUACUUUUCACUCAUUUAUAAUUUUCUUCCUUGUAUUAGUUUCAGAUUUAGACUGUUGUUUUUCUUGGUCCUUGACAUGCAUCAUUAGGUUAUCUGUUUGGGACUACUCUUACUUUAUGUGUACAUUUACAGAUAUGACCUUCCUUCUUAGACCUGCUUUCAUCAUGUUCUGUAGGUUUUGAUAUGUUGUACUUCACGUCAUUUGCUUCUAGGAACAUUUUUAAAAAUUACUUUUUCUCUGAUUUCUUUUGUGAUCCAUUGAUUGAUUACUCAGGGUUUUUUUUUUUGUUUGUUUGUUGGUUUGUUUGUUUGUUUUGUGGUACUGGGAAUCAAACCCAGCCUUGCGCUUGACAGGCAGACGCCUUUACCACUGAGCUAAAUCCCCAGCCCUCUCAGUUUUUCUUUUUGGUUUUUUUUCUUUCUUUCUUUCUUUCUUUCUUUCUUUCUUUCUUUCUUUGUAUCGGGGAUUGAACUCAUGACCUCAUGCUUGCCAGGUAGGUGCUUAUGCCACUGAGCUAAACCCACCGGCCUGUUAGUUUUCUUUUUGAGACAGGAUCUCACUUUGUAGCUCAGGCUGGCUUUGAACUCACUAUGUAGCCAAGGCUGAUCUGGAACUCACAGUGAUCCUCCUGUCUCAGCCUCCUAAUUGCUGGGAUUAUAGGCAUGCACUACACCUGGCAGUAAUAUAUUGUUUACAUUCCAUGUGUUUACGUAGUUUUUGUGACAUUUUUUGCUGUUGAUUUCUAGCUUCACUCCACUAUGAUCAGUUAGUAUACAGUGGAUUAGCUCAAGUCUUCUGUAUUUAUUCAAGCAUGCCUUAUGGCUUGAGAUAUAAUCUGGGGCAUGGUGGCACACUUCAUCAAGUUUGAAAGCUACUUUUGCAGGGUGUAAAACUUUGGGUGGACAGUUGUUUUCUUUCAGUGCUUAAAAAACUUCAACUUCAGACUUUCCUGAUCUUUAUUCUGAUGGCCUUGCCUUUAUAGAUUACUUGUAUUACUUGCUGUUUUUCUCUAACAGCUUUUAGUAUUCUCUCUUCUUGUUGAGUUUCUGGAGUUUUGGUUAUGAUGUACUGUAGAGAGGUUCUUUUCUGGUCAUGACUAUGCAGAGUUCUAGAUGCCUCUUGUACUUGAAUAUUGAAUUUUUUUCCCUAAUUUUGGGAAAUUUUCUGCUGUGAUUUUCAGUGAAAAAAAUUUUAAUGCUCUGAGUCUUUUUUUUUGUUUGUUUGACACAGGAUCUCACUAUGUAGUUGAGGCUGGCCUUGAACUCACUAUAUAGGUUGGCCUUGAACUCACAGGAGUACUCUUGCCUCAGCCUCUUAGGUGCUGGAAUUACAGGCAUGUGCGACCAUACCUAGCUACUGAGUCAUCUUCUAAAUUUCCUUUAUCCCAAUAAUUCUGAGGUUGGGUUUUUAUGUUUUUUGUUUUGAUUUGUUGGGGUGUUUUGCUGUUUGUUUGUUGAGUCAUAUAACAGCUCUUUAAUCUAGCUUGUCUGGUGUCAUGGCAUCUUUAAGAGUAGCAUAGAGAUUCUGACCUACUACAUGCAUAUUUUCUUAUAUUUCUGGCACUCUGUCCUCAUGUUGCUUUCAUUUUAAAUCUUUGCUUUUCACUGAAUUUUCCAUAUCAUGGAUCUCUGCUUGCUUUCUUUUUAUGCUAAUUCUUUUCCAAGUGGUCAUUCAAGUUUUGUCUUGCUUAACUCGGUUUACUGUUUAUCUCUUCGUUAAGCUUGUCAAGCAUUUUAUGGUAAAAAUACCUUAUCUGUUCAGCCAGAUUCUCUUUGGGCUUGUUAAAACAACUUAUAUAUUUGCUUAUUAUUUCUUCUUUUAUCUUUUCAAAGAUUUUUCCAAUUGGGUUUUGAGUUCUUUACCUAGGACUUCUACUUCAGUGUCAGUUGUUUUCUUACAAAUCUCCAUUCCAUGUAUUUUACCAGCUGUAUCCUACCAUCCUCAUUACCAUUCUUUUUCACCAUUCCUAUAAUUCAUGAACAUAGGAUGAUUUGCAAAUACUUUCCUCUAUUCUUUGGGGUUGUCUUUUUUUCUUCUCUGUCUUUCUACUUAGUAUCUUUUGAUGCAAGACAUUUUUAGUUCAGGUUAUCUGUUGUCUCUUUUAUUGCUUGUGCUUUUGUUACCAAAUUUAAGAAACCAUUAAAGCUGGGCAGCGUGGUAGCUCACGCCUGUAAUCCCAGCAUUUGGGAGGCUGAGGUAGGAGGAUCUUUGUGAGUUCAAGACCAGCCUAGGCUACGAAAUGAGCUCAAGGCUAGCCUGAACUGCAUAGAGAGACCCUGUCUCAAAAACAAAGAAAGAAAGAAAAGAAACCAUUGCUUCAUUCAAGUUAUUAGGAUUUUCAUCUGUAUUUUUUUCUAAAAGUUCACUCUUAAAUUUAAGUCUUUGAGAAGGAUAUGAUGGCAUACACCUGUAAUUCCAGUUAUCUGGGAGGCUAAGACAAGAUCACAAAUUUAAUCCUAUCAUGGGCAAUUUAGCAAUUUAGUGAAACUGUUUCAUAUUUUUCAAAAGUCUGAAGUUAUAAGGAGUGUAAAGUCCUUGGAUAAAUCUGCAGUGCCGGGAAAAAAUAGGUCUAUGAUUCAUUUUUAUACAUUGUAUUAGGUAAGGAUCCACUCUCAGUCUUUUAGAUAGGGAUUACUGAAUCUUUAUUACCUGAAGUUAUUGAAGAGAUGGUUCUUUCAUGUGCUGAAUGGUUUUAGUAAUCUUGUCAAAAUCAUUUGACUACAUUAAGGAUUUAUUUCUGAGCUUGUUGUUUCUUCCAUUUGGUCUGUAUGUCUAGCCUUGUGCCAGUAUCAUACUAUUUUGAUUACUGUAGCUUUGUGGUAAGUUUGAUAUUAGGAAGUGAUGGUUUUCCACCGUUUGCUUUUCUCUGUCAAGAUUGUCUAAUGGCCAGACAUGGUGGUACACACCUGUAACCCAGCACUUGGGAGGCUGAGGCAGGAGACUCACUGUGAGUUCAAGGCCAGCCUGGGCUUUGUAGUGGAUUCAAAGCCAAUCUGAACUACAUAGCAAGACCCUGUUUCAAAAAAAAUAAAAAAUAAAAAGAUUGUUUUGUUUUUUUUGGUCUUUUUCCUUUUUAUCGGUACCGGGGAUCGAACUCAUGACUGCCUGCUUGCAAGGCAGGCACUUAUGCUGCUAAGCUAAAUCCCCAGCCCCUGAUUGUUUUGUGUUUUAAGUCUGUGUGAAUUUUGGGAUCAGCCUGUCCAUUCUAAAAGAAUAUUAAGAUCUUUUUCAUUCUUUUUUUUCUUUUCUCUGUAUUUUUUGUUUUUGUUUUGUACAGGAGAUCAAACCUAGGGCCAUGUGCAUGCUAGGUACAUCUCAGAAGAAUGAGCUCCUGCCCCAGUAUGGCAGUUGGAAUUUUGAAAGAGAUUGAAUGGAAUGUAUACAUCAGUUUGGGGUCCAUUGCUGUCUUAACAUUAAGUCCUAUAAUUCAUGAGCAUAGGAUGACUUUCCCUUUAUUUAGUUCUUUAAUUUCUUACAGCAGUAUUUUGUAAUGUCCUGGCUGGCCUUGAACUUGCUAUAAAACCCAGGGUGUGCUUUUACUCACAAUCUUCCUGCCUCUGCCUCCCAAGUGUUGGGUUUACUGGUAUGUGUCACCAUGCCCAGAUUCUUGCACAUCUAGGGUGGGCAGUACUGGGGAUUGGAUUCAGGGUCCUCUCACUGAGCUUCUCAGUUUUUAUUUUGAGAUGGUGUCUCACUGAGUCUCCAGGCUGGGCUUGAACUUGCUAUCCUAUUGCUUCAGCCUCCCAGAAUGCUAGGUUAUAAAGGCGUGCCACCAUGUCCAGGUCUUGCCACCAUACCUGAUUUUUGUGUGUUCUUGAUUAAAUUUCUAAGUAUUUAAUUCUUUACUUAAAUUUUUUUUUAAUUUAAAAGAUAGUAAAACAACAAAACAAAGCCAAUCAAGAUAAUGCAGUGAAACUGGUACAGAACUUCAGAGCAGGAUAUGGGGAUAACAAUAAUAGAUACCAUAGUAUAUCUUGUUAUCUUCACAAUAGUUGUCCGUUCAAUCAGGUAUAGCACAGUCAAACCAAAAACAGAAUACUAUAAAACCAAUCAGAACAGAAUAUUGAAUAGAGCAAAACAAUCAGAACAAAGCAAAACAGUGAAAAGAAUAUUGGCCUUCAAAGACAAGAUAGAAGGAAAUCAUCCAUAUUUGCUAUGUUGCAUACUGUCAUUUUCCCAAGAGAUGCUCAGACCUCUGACCCCAGGUCAGCAUAAUCAACCAAACCGUAUAAGCAUUUAGUUGCUUUAUGUAGCUUAGUUGCUAUUAAUUCUAGCAACUGACCUCAAAACCAUAGUUGCUGGGGUGGGCCGGGGGGAGUGCAGGGGGCCAUGGAAUGUUUGAUUCUCAGCCCACACACCAGUAGACUCACAGGAGACACUGAUUUAUUCUCUCCCUGGGACGUCCGUGGCUCACUUGUGCCACUUACCAGGAAGGAUGGCUCAUUGUUCUCUUGGCUGUUCCCCCAAGUUCCAGCAUGGCUGAUUCUUGGGAGAUGCUAACUUGUUCUCUCCCUCUUUGAUGCUAUUAAAAUGGAAUAGUUUUUUAAAAAUUAUAUUAGAUCAUCCAUUGCUAGUAUAUAGAAAUAUAACUGAUUUUUGUAUGUUGAUUUUGUGGGUUUUGCUCAAUUUUUUUAUUAGUUCUGCUAGGAUUGUAUUUUAUUUAUGAUUUUCUAUAUAUAUGAUCAUGUCAUCUCUGAAUAGAGAUAACUUGACUUCUUCAUUUCCAGUUUGGUGGCUAUUACUUCUUUUCCUUGCCUAAUUGUCCUAGCUAGAAUAAAAACAGCAAGAGCAAAUACCCUCGCUUUCUUCCUGGUCUUAGGAAAAGCUUUCCUUCUUCACCACUGAGUUGAUGUUACUUGUGGUUCUCCAUAGAAGCCUCCUAGUCAAGGGUUGUGUUCCUAGUUUCUGUUCCAUGUGUGUUUGCCAUGCAAGAGUAUUGGAUUUUUUUUUUCAAGUGCUUUUUUGGAUUAAUAGAGAUGAGCAUGCUUUCACUAAUGUGGGGUAUUACACUGGAUGAUUUUUUUUUCCUUUUUAAAAUUUUAAACAGAAUAGAACCAAAACAAAACAGAGUAAAGUCAAUCAAAACAAAGCAGUGAGGGUACAGAACUUCAGAACAGGAUAAUAGGAAAUCAGCAGUGACUACCAUAGUAUACCUUGCUAUCUUCACAGUAGUUGUCCAUUACCAGCAGACAUAUCAAAAUCAAACAACACAGUAAAAUCAGUCAAAACAGAAUAUUGAAUAAAACAAAACAGUAAAACAAAAUAAAACUGAGAAUAGUACCACACAUUGCUAGCUUCAAAAUAGUUGUUCACAGGGGCUGGGGAUUUAGCUCAGUGGCAUAAGCACCUGCCUUCAAGCAGAAGGUUGUGAGUUUGAUCCCUGGUACCGGAAGAAAAAAAAAAAAAAAAAACCCAGCAACAAAAUAGUUGUUCACAUUGCUAGACACUGGGAUAAAACAGAACAGUAAAAUAGAACAAAACAUGGAAUUUCAAAAACAAGAUAGGAGGAAAUCCCCUACCAUUGCCACAGUGCACACUGCCAUCCUCCAAGUAGAUGCCGAGACCACCUGCCCCAGGCCUGCAGAGUCAGCCACACAGUAAACAUCAAGCUCUUCCCUUCCCUCAGGUGCUGGUGCUAUUGUCUCACCCUGAGGUUUGGGGGAUGCUGUUCUGGUUUUUCAGCCGGCACACCAGCUGGCUCACGGGAAGGCGUGGUUCCUCUUCUGGCCACUUUCCAGAUCAGCAUGGCAGAGCCUGCUGCCUGGGAAAGCCUACAUUGAAUGGUUUUGAUGUGUUGAGCCACCCUUGGAUUCUGGGAUUAACCACACUGAGUCAUGGUAUAUAAUCCUUCUACUAUGAUGCUGUAUUUAAUUUGCUAGGAUUUAUUGAAGAUGUUCAUGUGUAUAUUCAUAAGGGUAGUGUGUAGGUUUUUUAUUGUUUGUGUUUAUUUUUGUUUUUGUUUUUGAAGUACUGGGGAUUGAUUCCAGAUCUGUGUAGGCAAGUGCUCUACUACUAAGCUACACACCCCCGGCCUUGUUCUGUAGUUUUUUCUUAGGAUGUCUUUUCUAGCUUGGUAAUUAAGGUAAUACUGGCCUCAUCAAAUGAAUUAGGACAUUUUCUCUUUUUUAAGUUUUUUUCUAUUUUGAGACAGAAUCUUGCCAUGUACUUCUGCAGUGGCAAGCAAAAACACCAAAACAACAGCCAGGAUUUGGAGGUAAAUGUAUUUAUGUCCACGGGCACUGAUUGGGAUCAUUCCCAGAAUAUCAGGCACUGAUCUCUGGUGGUCUAGGGCUUUUAUAUGAUGCACAAGCAAGAGCUACCAAGGAGCUACAAGGCAAGACAGAACAGCCUGGCAGUUCUUCUGAUCAGCUAGCAGGAUAAGAUCGUCGCUUACAAGGGUAGAUUAAUGAUCAUCAGUUCAUGAAGUUUGGUACAGUGGUACAGUCAGGCUUCCUGUAUGUUUAGUUACACUCUCAUGUUUACAGGGGUUAAGAAAGUGAUGACACAACCAUGAAGCAGUUACAGAACUAGGCAGUUUCAAAUGAAUAAAGUUUUAAAAAGAAUAAUUUGUCUUGUACAGUUUUUCCCUGUCACUUCAGGUUGGCCUCAAAUUCACAGUGAGUCUCCUAUCUCAGUCUCCCAAUUGCUGUGAUUACAGGUAUGCACCACCACAUCCAGCUUCCUCAGUUUUUUAAAAGAAAAGUUUGAGAAGUUUUGGUGUUGGUUCUUUAAGCAUUUCUUUUCUUUCUUUCUUUUUUUUUUUUUUUUUUUUUUUUUUUUUUUUUUUUUUUGGUGGUGCCGGGAAUUGAACUCCUGGCCUUGCACUUGCCAGGCAGGCGCUUAUAGCACUGAGCUAAACCCCCAGCCCAUAGCAUUUCAUAGCUAGGCUGGAGUUACAGUUCAGUGGUAGAGUGCAUACAUAGUAUUUUGAAGACCCUAGAUUUGCCCUCAUCUCUAUCUCUUUCCCUCUCCCUCUCUCUCUUGUCUCUGUCUGUCUGUCUCUCUCUUUCACACACACACAUACACAGAAGACUUCACUGUAAAGUCAUCUGUCCGGGACUUUUUGUUAAGGUUAGAAGUUUUUCAUUACUGAUUCAAUUUCCAUGUUAUAGGUCUAUUUAGAUUUUCUAUUUCUUAUGUCUGUUUUGGUAGUUUAGAAGUUUCUAGAAAUUUGUCUGUUAUCUAAUUUGUUGGCAGUGUAUUCUCUCCUGAUUUAAGCAACUUCUUUUUCUUUCUUUUUUGAUGGUACUCGUGGGGAUUAAACCAAGGGCUUCAAAUAAACUAUGCAAAUGCUGUAAUGCUGAGCUAUAAUGCCAGACUGUUUUUAAAAUUUUUCUUUUUGAAGCUGGGCAUAAUGGCACCCUUGCCUGUCAUUCUAGCCCUGGGGAGACUGAGGUGGAAGACUUGCAAGUUUAAAUUCCAGCUAGGCAAAUUGACUUGACUUAAAAUCAAAAGGCUGGGGAUGUAGCUCAGUGAGUCGAGGUUCAAUCCCCAGAACCACCAUUAAUUAUUAAUUAUAUUUAUGAGUUAAGGUCUCACUAAGUUGCCCAGGCUUGCCUUGAACAUGCAAUCCUCUUCAGCCUGUAGCUGAAGUUACAGGUAUACUUGGCUGAUUUCAGUAAUUUGAAUGUCUUUUCUUUUUGGUCAGUCUAGCUGAAGGUUUGUCAGUUUUGCGCAUCUUUGUUGUUGUUGUUGUCGGGUUAUCAUUCUCUAAUUUCAGUUUCAUUUAUUUCCAUCUAAUCUUUAUUUUCGUUCUUCUUCUGCUAACUUUUAAAACAAAAGAGAUAUAAAGGGAUUUGUCAGGCAAGUUUUUAAAAGUGCGCACUCAAAAAAAUAAAAUGCAGACCCCCAAGAGAGAUGCACUUUAUAGUAUGUAGCUGGGAAUAUUUGUAUGUUUUGGCAUGUGAAAUAUGUGGAAUUUGUGAAUCUAUGAAGGUUUAGACUUAACUUACAGAAAAACAACCAAGGUAGAAAGAUUGUGGCUCAUUUUACAAGUGCAAAGAUGGCUCUCUUUUACUUCUUAAAAGUACAAUUUAUAAAAUGUGAUAUUCCCAGCCAGGCGUGGUGGCACAUUCCUGUAAUCCCAGCAAUUUGGAGGUUGAGGCAGGAGAAUUGCUGCUACUUUGAGGCCAUCCUUGGCUAUAUAGUGAGUGAGUCCAAGGUCAACGUGAACUACAGAGCAAGACCCUGUCUCCAAAAAAUAAAUAAAUAAAUAAAUAAAUAAAUAGAAAAAAGAAAGAUAUUCCCUGUGUCUUUUCUGCCUUCUUUAUUUCUCCUACCCUAUUUCACCCACCCAUCCCCACGCCCUCACGCCCCUGCCUCAUACACACACAAGACUGAUCCCUUAUUUUCAGGGGAUGCAGAGGGGCCAAAGGUCUACCUUCUUCUAGCUGCUGGAGAGAACACUGACCCUGCCAGUCUACUCUGACUGGUCUAAAGGAUACAUAGGAAGAUGGGUCUUAAUUGUUUGGUAAACCAUCAUCAUUUGUUAGUCUGGAGAAGAGGACAAAGACAUCAGCAAGUUCUUGAUGCUUUAACUUCAUUUUAUAAACAUGUUAAACAAGCAAGGGCCGAAAAUUAAAGUAGAAUAUUGGUGAAUAGUUACCCCAGAAGUUUGUAGAAGUCAGACAAAAUUUGUUAGCAUUUUUCAUAUACAAGACAGAGUAUACUUUUAGAUAUACUGCUCAUGUUAUAGUAAGUUUUUUUGGCUUUAGGUUUAUAAUUAUAUAACUAGUUAGAAUUUUCAUUAGCGAAUAUUAUUUAGUGCUGCUUUUUUUAUCCUGUAAAUUGUAAUAGUCUUUUUCCUAAUACUCAGGCUACUCUCAGUGCUUUCAUUGUUGUUAACACCAGAGUUAGGCCACCCAGUCAGAAGGAGAGAAGAGAUGCAGAUUGCUGCUGGGAUCUUUGCUCAUUUUCUCUCCUUACAGAAACAAGUUUGAGGGGGGCUGGAGAUUUAGCUCAGCGGCAUAAGCGCCUGCCUUGCAAGCAGGCAGUCGUGAGUUUGAUCCCGGGUACCGAUAAAAAGGAAAAAGACAAAAAGAAACAA
Molecule: long non-coding RNA, 26639 nt
Organism: Cavia porcellus (domestic guinea pig)
Lineage: Eukaryota; Metazoa; Chordata; Mammalia; Rodentia; Caviidae
Exons: 2
Source: RefSeq, a predicted model, not a curated record